Molecule: long non-coding RNA, 5668 nt
Organism: Prinia subflava (tawny-flanked prinia)
Lineage: Eukaryota; Metazoa; Chordata; Aves; Passeriformes; Cisticolidae
Exons: 3
Source: RefSeq, a predicted model, not a curated record
CAUGAAUAAUGCAUGAGGCCGGGAGCCCGCCCCGCCGGCGCCAACCAGCCGGGUGGGUGCUACCACUUCAGUCAGGGGGAAGUGCCAGCCUAGGGGCUGCUUCGGCAAGGAAAGCUCUCUUUGGGCUUCGACGACCCCUCUGUCGUCAAGCGAAAAACACCUGCAAAAGAGAUUUUAUUUCGUUUUGCGGCAGCGGCUGUGAUCGGCUUUUAUCCCAAGAGACUGGGCAGUGCCAGCCGCGACGUCGCCUUCUCCUGCCGCCUGUGAUCCUGCCGGGCGCUCACUCGGGGCGGAGAGGGGAUCGCCCCGCCCCUUCGCCUCGCGCGCCGCUCAUUUGCAUUGACGCACGACCGCGCGCCACGGGCGGGGCGGGGGUGGAGCGCGAGCGCGGCGGCACGAGACGGGCCGGGUGUGAAGGCCCCGCCCAGCCCCGGCUGGCCCCGGCCCCGGGCGCGGGCGCGGGGCGCGGAGCGUGUCCGUGUGUCCUCUGGGAUCAGGGUCUGGGCUGCCCCAUUCCCUGUCCCGUGGGGCACUGCAGCGUCCAGAGCUCCGGGGAAACGUGGGCUCGUCACCCCUUCCUCGCCACACACCCAGGGCCUGCCAGCAGACCUUGUUUGUUGGGCGCCUGAGAGACCCACGGGAGCUCGGGCGGCACCCGUGCUGAGGUGUGGUGGCACGGGGUGGUGCCUUCUGAGGUAUUCCAGUACCAAAGGCAUCUGUCCAUGCCCACUAUCAGCUUCAUUCCUCCUGCCCUAUGGAUCUUUGGUCUGACCCAGGGUACCUCACCUAUUUGCAACACAGCAACUGCCUAAAUUUGCCUUUCCAGACCCUAGGGUAUUGUGAGAGGCUUGGAUUCCAUGUUCCCUGAUUGUUGAGAAGCGAGACCGCCUGAAGAGGAGAGCAUGCUGGCAGAGCCACGCCUCACCUGAGUGACCUGAAGAAGCUACAGAGUCGUGGAGCUGGGAUGAGUUCCUUAGAUUAGACAGCAAACAUUACAAAUGCCAAGCCAUACACAAUAUCAGUGUACAUAAUAUGUAAAUUGAAAAAAACCAGAUGUUGCAAAGCAAGCUGUCAGUAUGGUAGAACUAAAUAUACAUAAGUUAUGUUUUUUGCAGUUAUUAAUCAACCUGCUUCUGUAUUUUCAUUCCAACAAAUGUGCCAGACAUUGACUUCACCUGGGAGGCCUGUGGUAGAGCUGGGGCUGACAGCUCUCCUGGAUUUGUUGGUGCCUGAAAGACAAUGAUCAUCUUGUUUGGUGUUCUGCAUCAUGCAGUGAGUGUUAAAUUUUGUGUGGUGAGUUUAACCAGUAGUGCUAUAGAAUAGAAAGUAUAAGGACAAAUCACAUUAAAGUAUAUAAAAUAGCUGUAACUGUGUAAAGACAAAAUAAACUGUAAGGGUUACACACCAGCUCUGCUUGCUGCCAUUUGGGUAACAUGAAAGGGAUCAUCAAGGUAGUGGCUUCUGAGUUUUGCCUCUGAGUGGUUAUCAUCUCUUCUAGAAAUUGCCAUGCAAAGCUUAAGUUCUUUCCUUUUAUAAACCCAGGAGAAUAACAUCUUCUAUUGGCUAGUGUUAGCAACAGGAUAUUAUUAUAUGAGAAAGGAUUUUGGCCCGCUGUUCUCUUUUUUUUUUUUUUUUCUUGAACAAUAAAACUUUUAGUGGUUAUAAGAACUGAAUGGGAUUGUACUGAGAUGCUGUGCAGUUCAGAGUGGUCUGUGGGUUUAGCUCCUUUAAAAAGGUCUGUCUUCUUCUGUGGGGUAGGAUCCAUACUUUCUAAAUUAUCAGAUACCACUUAACAAGUGUUACAGUUUUUGUGAACACACAAUAGGUCAUGAAAAUUAGAUACAAUAUGUAGACUUGAUAUGUACACAGAGCUAUUUCAGCACUUCUCAUUUUGGAAAUGAACACGAACAGAAGAAUAUCAGGAGCCUAAUGUAUACAAGACAAAGUAGCUCUGACUAGUGGUAGAAUCUACUCUUUCCCUCCUAUUAGCUAGUUGGAAAAUCACCAUGCCUGUGAUUUUGAAUAUGGGCUGCAAUUAGAUGUACACAUAAGAAGUAUUUUUGCUUUCAUUUCAAUACUAAACACAGCUUUUUGAUGAUUUCUUUGCAUGUUACAGUUAAAAGUAAGCAUUACAGAUAGUACUGACUUCAAAAAACCUUUUGUGAAUUGGCUCAGCAUAGUGGAGACUCAUUACCUGCUUGUAAUGUAACAAGUUGUUCUUUCCACAGUCCACAAUAUUUAUAGGUCUUUCACCAUUUGCAGUGAUUUACUAUUUCAUUUGACCUCUUUUCCAAAGAUGUAUAGCCACAAAAAAACAAAAAACAAAAACAGAAACAACAAACAAACAAACAAAAAAACCCAACAACAACAAAAAAAAGAAAUCUGUUUCUUGUUUUCUCUUGCUGUUUUACCACUCCUUCUUGUUUUGCAUAUUGACUCCUUUUCCUAGGGUCUUUGUUAACCCUCUCUGUUUAGGUAGCUGUGUCUGUCCUGUUGUGCUUGCAAGGGUUCUGCUAAAGAUCUGCUCAGUCUUCUGUGGGAUCAGGCUUUUUAGGGAAGCACACAGUCUGCUGUCCUGUGGUCUGUGACAUUUGUCUGCUUUGGUGCUCAGCCUAAACUGUGACAUGGGGUUGCACAUGCAUUCCAGGAGCAGCACAUUGUUCUAGCUGGUAACAAAACACACGAUUCACAUACUUCUGCUGGAGCUGCUUCCUCUUAACCCUAAAGUUGAUUUUUUGUUAAUGACAUUUUCCUCCCAUGGAAACAUGGUGAACAGUCUGGGAUUGCAGAUUAUUCAUCUAGAAAAGCAGAUUAUGAGGUUUGACAUGUUGCAGGAAAAAGAGGUCUGAAGAUUUAUAUCAAUGUGCUUCAUUCACUGUUUUUUGUUCUUGAUUUUUUUAAACUCUGAAAAUAAUAGUCAUGGACCCUUAGGAAGGAUGUAGGUAAGUCUUUUUUUCAGCAGUGAGCAGCCUGUUGAUUUACAGUAGCUUAUCUUUUCUCCUGGUGGUUUUUCUCAUUAAAAGAAAAAUACUAAUUACCCAGAUAUAACAAGACUGGGUAAAAAACCCUUUCUUAGAUCAUUGUGUGUUGAAAUGAAAUUUAAAGCAGUGGGAAAAAUUAACACCAGCAAUUGAAAUAAUUUGCUUUGUUCCCAUAUUCCCACCCCCAUGUUAUGUUUUUGUUUGUUUUUAAGGUUAAAAAUCUUAAAAUUCACAGGAGAUGGUCAGCUUUCUUGCUUUAUUCAAAGCCCAACUUCCAUCAUGAAAGUGUUCUAAACUUGAAGGAUACAGGUUCUGGUCACAAGAAUGCAAAGCAGUGAUCUACUCUUUUUUUAAUUCUUUGUGCCCUGGAGUUUAACCUGCACAGUAGACUAAUAUUCUCUUGCUUGCUAGUGGCAGUUUCUGUUUCUUUUUUGUUUUGUUUUGGUUUUUUUUUUUUUUGGUAGUGGAAGUCAUUAGACUUUCUCCCAAGAGAAUCACUGCCAAAGUAAACAAACAUCUUCAUGAAAGGAAAAUAAUAUAUAGAGCAUUCAGAAUUCCAUGUUUUACAGAGGAAUAUUUAUGGCAACCACUAGUGAAUUAAAGUGAACAAAAUCCUAUUUCUAGUUUGCUACUUUUUCUGUGCUAAUUGAAUGUGGCAAUUUCUGCUAGCUUCUCAGCUAUUCAGUGCAAGUACUGGAUGCUAGUUAUAAUUUAGGAUGAAGGAAAAUAAGAUGAAACUCAGUUUAGAAGAAGGGUUUUCUUUUUUUAUUUAUUGUUGGGAUUUGAAUAGUGCAUGUAAACCUCCAAGGAAUCGCUGUUGUCUCUAAAAUGUUCUGCAUGUGGUUGGCAAGAACAACAAGGACAGAGGAAAGUUCAGCUAAAAAAUUCAUAAAGGCUGUCUGGUGGAAUGCAUUAUAGUCAUCUGUAUACCUCUGUGCUCCUAUCCCUCUGAACUGAUAAUUUUUAGCUGAGAUAAAACGUUCUGAGGAACAGGAGGCUGGCAGAUUUGCAGCAUAGAUUGUUUGAAGGUUUAAAUACUGUGACUAUCUCAUCUUACUGUAAGUCUGUAGAUAUAAUGUAAGCUGGAGUUGCUGAAAAGUGAUAGAAUGGCUCAUGUGAACAGCCAAAAAAACCUGUGAAGAGCUUAUUUUGUGUAUGCUGCAGAAUUCUGCUCUCAUUCCACCUCCUCUACAGGACAGCAGUAAUUCUACAGUGAAGCAGAGACACUUCAAAUUUGUUGACGAUGAGACCAUAUCUAGUUCUUUGUUUAGGCAGUGGCUUUCACAAAGGGGACCAGUGCUAACUGCGAACUGCUGCCAGCACCGUCAUAUGUUUCUUGACAAAUGCAAAGUGUUCAAAAAGUUGGCACUACAAAAUAGAGAUACUGUCAAUCUUUGUUUAAUUCUCAGAAUGGCUUUUAAGCUUUUAAAGCUUGUGUUGUUGCUGAUACACUUGCAUAUCAGAUAACAUUUUUGACAAUCCUUAUAAUAUGUCUGGUUAAUUUGAUCACAUUACUGAAACGUAAACCAAAAUUCUGAGAGUGCUAAGAUGUUACUGCUGGUUUUUCCUAUGUGCUCUGAGCAGAAGAAGGGUUUGUGCAGCAGUGUGUGCUGCUAUAGCCAGAAUACAGCAUUUUCUCAUCUUUUCUAUGCACUGUGCAGAUGCAGCUGCUGCUGUUUGCCAAACAUGAAGGUGUUGUUCACAGCUCUGUGAGUAAGUUUGGGUUCUGCCUUACAGAAUGCAUGAGACAUCUCUACUAAUUGCACAAGUGUUCAGGCUAUAUUUAUGUACCUGAAUAUUGUGGUGUAGGAGGCAAAAUGAAAUUUUAAGGGAUUAUUUUGAUAAUCAUUGGCUAGGUCUCCAGAAGCUCAUGGAACAGAAUUGUGCUGGGAAUAACUGCAUGGUGCUUCCAGUGAUAGAAUAAUCUGUUCUGAAGGGUGGAAUGCUCGAGUGUGACUGUAUGUAGGAGAUGAAGUAGGAGACCGAAGGAAACACUGGAAAAUUUUGGAAGAGGCUGUGAAGUAGCAUUCAUUGAGUCCUGUAGGUAGCCCUGAUCACAGAUGCAGCCGGAGGAGCCAAGUGUGUGUCUGAAGCUAGGCCUGCCCCUCUGGAAGAGUGUACAGAUCAUGUAGCAACUUAAACAGAAGGAGUAUAUGUUUGUACCUCAGCAGGCUAUUAAAGAAGUGCUUUCAAUUGCUACAAGAAAAUUUAUUAAAGUUUACUCAUUAAACUCGAAAAGGUAGUAGAGGAACAGGUUCCCCUUCUGAGCCAUAGCAUCUCUGUUGUACAAAAACCAAAGUCAACCUAUCUGAUUUAUAUAUGAAAAUACAUUCUCUUGUACUUGACCUUAUUUUCUCUUUGAGUGUAAGAUGGAUGCUCACUAAUUUUACACCACCACCCACUGUUUCAGUAAAAUUAUUUUUAACAGAUUCUGCAAGAAAUUUGCUGCUUUAAUUAAUAUGGAAUUAUCUCAGAAAUUACCAGUGCAGACUCUUCAAAUUUACCAUAGAACAAAAUUUAAUCAGUCUAGAGCUGAAGAAGGACAGAUUAAAAUUAAAAGAUACAUUAACUGUAUAAUUGUGAGUAAUUAUGGUGAUAUAUCCAGUAGUCAAGGUGGGCCUCAAGCUCUGGGGCGGCCCCUGGGGUAUCAGUUUAGCAGCCAGCCUGCUGGAGGGUAGGGUGCUCUC